AUAUAAUGUAUACAUACAUAUACAUCCAUGUUAAUAUGUGUGUGUGUGUGUGUGUUAUGGGCUGACUUAUGUCCCCCCAAAUUCAUAUGUUAAAGUCCUAACACCUAGCACCUCAGAAUGUGACCGUAUUUGCGGAUGGGGCCUUUAAAGAGGUAAUUAAGUUAAAUGAGGUCAUAAUGGUAGGCCCUAAUCCACUGUAACUGGUGCUCUUAUAAGAAGGGGAAAUUUGGACACAGACACACAGAGCAAAGACCACGUGAGAACACAGGGAGAAGACGGCCAUCAACAAGCCAAGGAGAGAGUCCUCAGGAGAAACCAACCCCGCUGGCACCCUCAUCUCAGACUUCCAGCCUCCUGAACUGAAACAGGCUGCUGCUGCCACCUGGGGGAGGUUCUUCCGCUCCCUUCAAGAAAGCCAAAUGUGCUCGUCAGACGGAUGAAUCCGUCCAUGUUUUCCUCGUCAGAUCCACACGGGAAGAAGACUUUCUAACUUUCUGCCCAUGAAGUUGUAAGGCAUUCUAGAUGUCUCCAAGAUUGCUUCACACAGAAAUACACACCGCACAGACUUUUUGAGAGGCACAGGAGAAGAUGCUUCUACAUCUUACACACUAAGAAAGUAUUUGGGAAAGUACGGGUUAUAUACUAAGAAGUGGAAAAGUCAAAUUUAAGCUUUCACUAAUAAAAUAAAACACCAAUUUUUAAGAAAAAUUUAUUUAGCCUCAAGUUAUAGUUAAUUGUACUCCUUUUCUGAAAUGUGCUAUCAUUAAUUGAUAUGGAAACUGCAUGUGCCAAUAUAAUCACGCUAGUGAUUGUAUCAGUUAGGAUAAGACAAUCACUUUCACUUACAUGGAAAUAGCCAAGAGAGGCUUUUUAGAGAAUUUCUAAAUUUAUGAACUGAAUACUGUUAUGAAGUCAACAUCUAUUUAUAGCAUGUAUAUUAUAUAUCCAUUUGUUGAAACUUUUCUUAUAGUCGUGAUAUGGUGCUCACCAAUUACAAUGGAAAACACACAGUCCCAGUCCCGGCGCGGCACAGCAACACCGCCACAGCACACAGUCCCGGUCCCGGCGUGGCACGGCGACACCGUCACAGCGCCCAGUCCCGGUCCCAGCACGGCACAGCAACACCGUCACAGUGCCCAGUCCUGGUCCCAGCGUGGCACAGCGACACCAUCACAGCACACACGCCCAGUCCCGGCAUGGCACGGCGACACCGUCACAGCACACAGUCCCGGGCACGGC
RNAcentral lists this long non-coding RNA (1239 nucleotides) under Equus asinus (donkey). RNAcentral's name for it is "lncRNA (ENSEASG00005033097.1)". The record is from RNAcentral. Lineage: Eukaryota; Metazoa; Chordata; Mammalia; Perissodactyla; Equidae.